This 313-nucleotide ribosomal RNA is filed under the name Clostridioides difficile. RNAcentral's name for it is "bacterial SSU rRNA". It matches the Rfam family "Bacterial small subunit ribosomal RNA", at positions 1016 to 1329 of the family's 1533-position model. The record is from RNAcentral. Lineage: Bacteria; Bacillati; Bacillota; Clostridia; Peptostreptococcales; Peptostreptococcaceae.
CCCUUCGGGGACAUUGGUGACAGGUGGUGCAUGGUUGUCGUCAGCUCGUGUCGUGAGAUGUUGGGUUAAGUCCCGCAACGAGCGCAACCCUUGUCUUUAGUUGCCAUCAUUAAGUUGGGCACUCUAGAGAGACUGCCAGGGAUAACCUGGAGGAAGGUGGGGAUGACGUCAAAUCAUCAUGCCCCGUAUGCUUAGGGCUACACACGUGCUACAAUGGGUAGUACAGAGGGUUGCCAAGCCGUAAGGUGGAGCUAAUCCCUUAAAGCUACUCUCAGUUCGGAUUGUAGGCUGAAACUCGCCUACAUGAAGCUGG